UACGGAGGGUGCAAGCGUUAAUCGGAAUUACUGGGCGUAAAGCGCGCGUAGGUGGCUUGAUAAGCAAGAUGUUAAAGCCCAGGGCUCAACCUUGGAACGGCAUCCGGAACUGUCAGGCUAGAGUGCAGGAGAGGAAGGUAGAAUUCCCGGUGUAGCGGUGAAAUGCGUAGAGAUCGGGAGGAAUACCAGUGGCGAAGGCGGCCUUCUGGACUGAUACUGACACUGAGGUGCGAAAGCGUGGGUAGCAAACAGG
Molecule: unclassified non-coding RNA, 253 nt
Filed under: uncultured Halomonadaceae bacterium
Lineage: Bacteria; Pseudomonadati; Pseudomonadota; Gammaproteobacteria; Oceanospirillales; Halomonadaceae
Description: contains 16S-23S intergenic spacer region
Rfam family: Bacterial small subunit ribosomal RNA
Source: RNAcentral